GGCAACCACCAAGUCACAAACUUGAUAAAUGCAAGCACCUGGAGCGCAAAGAUCGUACAUAGACAAGCAUGUUAACGCGUUCCACCACUCCACAGACCGUCGCCACCACUUCACCGUUGCGCUCUGCUGUUCCAUGUCCUUUGAGAAUACUGUCUUCGAGGCUGAUUGGGAUGGUAUCGGCGACGGUGACGGAAGCAUCAGAAUUGACCUUAGAAUGCAAAGACUCGAGCUUUUGCAGAGCUUUCUGUAAUCUUAUCUUUUGAGUUUGAUUCAAGGAUAGCUGUAUUUCUCUCAUCUUUCGUUAAUUUACCUCUUCUUCCUCCCCUCUCCUCUCCUCUCCUCUGUGUG
This 348-nucleotide unclassified non-coding RNA is filed under the name Hevea brasiliensis (rubber tree). Lineage: Eukaryota; Viridiplantae; Streptophyta; Magnoliopsida; Malpighiales; Euphorbiaceae. The record is from RNAcentral.